This 2901-nucleotide ribosomal RNA is filed under the name Escherichia coli. RNAcentral's name for it is "bacterial LSU rRNA". It matches the Rfam family "Bacterial large subunit ribosomal RNA". The record is from RNAcentral. Lineage: Bacteria; Pseudomonadati; Pseudomonadota; Gammaproteobacteria; Enterobacterales; Enterobacteriaceae.
UUAAGCGACUAAGCGUACACGGUGGAUGCCCUGGCAGUCAGAGGCGAUGAAGGACGUGCUAAUCUGCGAUAAGCGUCGGUAAGGUGAUAUGAACCGUUAUAACCGGCGAUUUCCGAAUGGGGAAACCCAGUGUGAUUCGUCACACUAUCAUUAACUGAAUCCAUAGGUUAAUGAGGCGAACCGGGGGAACUGAAACAUCUAAGUACCCCGAGGAAAAGAAAUCAACCGAGAUUCCCCCAGUAGCGGCGAGCGAACGGGGAGCAGCCCAGAGCCUGAAUCAGUGUGUGUGUUAGUGGAAGCGUCUGGAAAGGCGCGCGAUACAGGGUGACAGCCCCGUACACAAAAAUGCACAUGCUGUGAGCUCGAUGAGUAGGGCGGGACACGUGGUAUCCUGUCUGAAUAUGGGGGGACCAUCCUCCAAGGCUAAAUACUCCUGACUGACCGAUAGUGAACCAGUACCGUGAGGGAAAGGCGAAAAGAACCCCGGCGAGGGGAGUGAAAAAGAACCUGAAACCGUGUACGUACAAGCAGUGGGAGCACGCUUCGGCGUGUGACUGCGUACCUUUUGUAUAAUGGGUCAGCGACUUAUAUUCUGUAGCAAGGUUAACCGAAUAGGGGAGCCGAAGGGAAACCGAGUCUUAACUGGGCGUUAAGUUGCAGGGUAUAGACCCGAAACCCGGUGAUCUAGCCAUGGGCAGGUUGAAGGUUGGGUAACACUAACUGGAGGACCGAACCGACUAAUGUUGAAAAAUUAGCGGAUGACUUGUGGCUGGGGGUGAAAGGCCAAUCAAACCGGGAGAUAGCUGGUUCUCCCCGAAAGCUAUUUAGGUAGCGCCUCGUGAAUUCAUCUCCGGGGGUAGAGCACUGUUUCGGCAAGGGGGUCAUCCCGACUUACCAACCCGAUGCAAACUGCGAAUACCGGAGAAUGUUAUCACGGGAGACACACGGCGGGUGCUAACGUCCGUCGUGAAGAGGGAAACAACCCAGACCGCCAGCUAAGGUCCCAAAGUCAUGGUUAAGUGGGAAACGAUGUGGGAAGGCCCAGACAGCCAGGAUGUUGGCUUAGAAGCAGCCAUCAUUUAAAGAAAGCGUAAUAGCUCACUGGUCGAGUCGGCCUGCGCGGAAGAUGUAACGGGGCUAAACCAUGCACCGAAGCUGCGGCAGCGACACUAUGUGUUGUUGGGUAGGGGAGCGUUCUGUAAGCCUGUGAAGGUGUACUGUGAGGUAUGCUGGAGGUAUCAGAAGUGCGAAUGCUGACAUAAGUAACGAUAAAGCGGGUGAAAAGCCCGCUCGCCGGAAGACCAAGGGUUCCUGUCCAACGUUAAUCGGGGCAGGGUGAGUCGACCCCUAAGGCGAGGCCGAAAGGCGUAGUCGAUGGGAAACAGGUUAAUAUUCCUGUACUUGGUGUUACUGCGAAGGGGGGACGGAGAAGGCUAUGUUGGCCGGGCGACGGUUGUCCCGGUUUAAGCGUGUAGGCUGGUUUUCCAGGCAAAUCCGGAAAAUCAAGGCUGAGGCGUGAUGACGAGGCACUAUGGUGCUGAAGCAACAAAUGCCCUGCUUCCAGGAAAAGCCUCUAAGCAUCAGGUAACACCAAAUCGUACCCCAAACCGACACAGGUGGUCAGGUAGAGAAUACCAAGGCGCUUGAGAGAACUCGGGUGAAGGAACUAGGCAAAAUGGUGCCGUAACUUCGGGAGAAGGCACGCUGAUAUGUAGGUGAAGCGACUUGCUCGUGGAGCUGAAAUCAGUCGAAGAUACCAGCUGGCUGCAACUGUUUAUUAAAAACACAGCACUGUGCAAACACGAAAGUGGACGUAUACGGUGUGACGCCUGCCCGGUGCCGGAAGGUUAAUUGAUGGGGUCAGCGCAAGCGAAGCUCUUGAUCGAAGCCCCGGUAAACGGCGGCCGUAACUAUAACGGUCCUAAGGUAGCGAAAUUCCUUGUCGGGUAAGUUCCGACCUGCACGAAUGGCGUAAUGAUGGCCAGGCUGUCUCCACCCGAGACUCAGUGAAAUUGAACUCGCUGUGAAGAUGCAGUGUACCCGCGGCAAGACGGAAAGACCCCGUGAACCUUUACUAUAGCUUGACACUGAACAUUGAGCCUUGAUGUGUAGGAUAGGUGGGAGGCUUUGAAGUGUGGACGCCAGUCUGCAUGGAGCCGACCUUGAAAUACCACCCUUUAAUGUUUGAUGUUCUAACGUUGACCCGUAAUCCGGGUUGCGGACAGUGUCUGGUGGGUAGUUUGACUGGGGCGGUCUCCUCCUAAAGAGUAACGGAGGAGCACGAAGGUUGGCUAAUCCUGGUCGGACAUCAGGAGGUUAGUGCAAUGGCAUAAGCCAGCUUGACUGCGAGCGUGACGGCGCGAGCAGGUGCGAAAGCAGGUCAUAGUGAUCCGGUGGUUCUGAAUGGAAGGGCCAUCGCUCAACGGAUAAAAGGUACUCCGGGGAUAACAGGCUGAUACCGCCCAAGAGUUCAUAUCGACGGCGGUGUUUGGCACCUCGAUGUCGGCUCAUCACAUCCUGGGGCUGAAGUAGGUCCCAAGGGUAUGGCUGUUCGCCAUUUAAAGUGGUACGCGAGCUGGGUUUAGAACGUCGUGAGACAGUUCGGUCCCUAUCUGCCGUGGGCGCUGGAGAACUGAGGGGGGCUGCUCCUAGUACGAGAGGACCGGAGUGGACGCAUCACUGGUGUUCGGGUUGUCAUGCCAAUGGCACUGCCCGGUAGCUAAAUGCGGAAGAGAUAAGUGCUGAAAGCAUCUAAGCACGAAACUUGCCCCGAGAUGAGUUCUCCCUGACUCCUUGAGAGUCCUGAAGGAACGUUGAAGACGACGACGUUGAUAGGCCGGGUGUGUAAGCGCAGCGAUGCGUUGAGCUAACCGGUACUAAUGAACCGUGAGGCUUAACCUU